This 255-nucleotide ribosomal RNA is filed under the name Listeria monocytogenes. RNAcentral's name for it is "partial 23S ribosomal RNA". It matches the Rfam family "Bacterial large subunit ribosomal RNA", at positions 264 to 513 of the family's 2925-position model. The record is from RNAcentral. Lineage: Bacteria; Bacillati; Bacillota; Bacilli; Caryophanales; Listeriaceae.
AGAGCCCAAACCAAGAAGCUUGCUUCUUGGGGUUGUAGGACACUCUAUACGGAGUUACAAAAGAAAGUUAUAAAUGAAGCGGUCUGGAAAGGCCCGCCAAAGACGGUAACAGCCCGGUAGUUGAAAUAGCUUUCCCUCCAGAGUGGAUCCUGAGUACGGCGGAACACGUGAAAUUCCGUCGGAAUCCGGGAGGACCAUCUCCCAAGGCUAAAUACUCCCUAGUGACCGAUAGUGAACCAGUACCGUGAGGGAAAG